This 326-nucleotide ribosomal RNA is filed under the name uncultured eukaryote. Its description in RNAcentral is "partial 18S ribosomal RNA". It matches the Rfam family "Eukaryotic small subunit ribosomal RNA", at positions 1470 to 1796 of the family's 1831-position model. The record is from RNAcentral.
CCCUUCGAUGUUCUGGGCUGCACGCGCGCUACACUGAUGCACUCAACGAGUUUACGACCUUGCCCGAUAGGGUUGGGUAAUCUUUUUAAAAUGCAUCGUGAUGGGGAUAGAUUAUUGCAAUUAUUAAUCUUCAACGAGGAAUUCCUAGUAAGCGCGAGUCAUCAGCUCGUGCUGAUUACGUCCCUGCCCUUUGUACACACCGCCCGUCGCUCCUACCGAUUGAGUGCUCAGGUGAAUAAUUCGGACUGCAGCAAUGUUUGGAUCCCGAACGUUGCAGCGGAAAGUUUAGUGAACCUUAUCACUUAGAGGAAGGAGAAGUCGUAACA